Molecule: ribosomal RNA, 794 nt
Filed under: Scolecobasidium cateniphorum
Lineage: Eukaryota; Fungi; Ascomycota; Dothideomycetes; Venturiales; Sympoventuriaceae
Description: eukaryotic LSU rRNA
Rfam family: Eukaryotic large subunit ribosomal RNA
Source: RNAcentral
GGGAUUGCCUCAGUAACGGCGAGUGAAGCGGCAACAGCUCAAAUUUGAAAUCUGGCCUUUGGCCCGAGUUGUAAUUUGUAGAGGAUGUUUCGGGUACCGCUGCGGUUUAAUUUUCUUGGAACAGAAAGUCAUAGAGGGUGAGAACCCCGUCUUGGACCGCGGUAGGGCCUAUGUGAAACUCCUUCGACGAGUCGAGUUGUUUGGGAAUGCAGCUCAAAAUGGGUGGUAAAUUUCAUCUAAAGCUAAAUAUUGGCCAGAGACCGAUAGCGCACAAGUAGAGUGAUCGAAAGAUGAAAAGCACUUUGAAAAGAGAGUUAAAAAGUACGUGAAAUUGUUGAAAGGGAAGCGCUUGCAACCAGACUUGCGCGCGACGGUUCCCCCUUCCUUUUGGUUGGGCCACUCCGUCGUGUCCAGGCCAACAUCAGUUUUGGUGGUCGGUUAAAGGCCUUGGGAAUGUACCUACUCCUUCGGGUGUAGACUUAUAGCCCUUGGUGUCAUGCGACCUACCGAGACUGAGGAACGCGCUUCGGCUCGGAUGUUGGCGUAAUGGUUGUCAGCGACCCGUCUUGAAACACGGACCAAGGAGUCUAACAUCUAUGCGAGUGUUUGGGUGUCAAACCCGGAACGCGUAAUGAAAGUGAACGGAGGUAGGAAGGCGCAAGCCCGCACUAUCGACCGAUCCUGAUGUCUUCGGAUGGAUUUGAGUAAGAGCAUAGCUGUUGGGACCCGAAAGAUGGUGAACUAUGCCUGAAUAGGGUGAAGCCAGAGGAAACUCUGGUGGAGGCUCGCAGCGG